This is a non-coding RNA of Parelaphostrongylus tenuis, 71 nucleotides long. The record is from the annotation of a GenBank genome assembly. NCBI's taxonomy places the organism in Eukaryota, Metazoa, Nematoda, Chromadorea, Rhabditida, Metastrongylidae.
UCCUCGGUAGUAUAGUGGUUAGUAUCCGCGCCUGUCACGUUCGAGACCCUGGUUCACUUCCGGCCGGGGAG